This is a long non-coding RNA of Sapajus apella (tufted capuchin), 1262 nucleotides long. RefSeq lists it as uncharacterized. The transcript has 3 exons. The record is from RefSeq and is a predicted model, not a curated record. Lineage: Eukaryota; Metazoa; Chordata; Mammalia; Primates; Cebidae.
AAUCAAAUGUAGAACGUGGUGACUAUAAUUAAUAAUACUAUACUGUAUACUUGAAGUUUGCUAAGGCAGAAGAUCUUAAAUGUUCUUACCACACCAAAAAAAGUAACUAUGUGAGGUGAUAAAUAUGCUAAUUAGCUUGACUGCGGUAAUCAUUUCACAACAUAUGCUUGCAUCAAAACACCAUGUUGUGUACCUUAAAUAUAUGUAAUUUUUAUUUGCCAACUACACUUCAGUAAAGCUUGGGGAAAGAAGAAUUGGUAAAAAUCACUUGGAAAAAUACAGCUCUUAAUACUAUGAUUUCAUGUAAUGUCACAGUAACUUUAGUUUGGAUGUCUCUGCAUAACGUGAUGUAAUCAAUCAAAAAUGUCCAUGUUUCAAUAGCGGGUGUUGCCCUGAGGUCUUGUUUUUCUGGUAGAACAGGGCCUCAGAAAGUCCACAGUCUGUACAUGCGGUCAAGAGGUAAUACCAUUAAACUUGACCUUUCCACUUAAUCCAUGCUAAGAGUGGUAUGCCAGAGAUUUUAGGUGCUGGUUUUUCUAUCUCUGGUGCUAACUUUGUCAGAAAGAAUAAAUAGGUCCUUCUUGAAAUGUUAGAAAUAAAAUUACAUAUUCCAACAAAAGUUGUAGAAUUCUUCUUUGCUAGAGGUUGGUGAAGUCAUACACACAGAAGAUAACACUGUAAUUACAUGAUGUUUAAAUAUGGAAGAACUUGCUUUCCGCUGAAUUUAUAGAUUCACUUAAUGUUUACACUGAAACAGCAGUUAACAUUCUGUUUGGAAAGGUUGCUGGGAGACUAAUCAGUGAUCGAUACUCUUUCACUAUAAACAAGAAAUGUGAAAUAAAAGACAAUAAAUUAAAAUUCAUAGCUGAGUUCAAAGGAAAAAAAUUACCCUGGCAUCAGAGAUAAAAUACUCAAAGCUAAGCAAUGAGUAUACAAGGUGGCACCUAGGCAUCGUAGCAAAAUAGCAGAUCCAGAAAUAAGUUCUUAUAUCUGGGACUAAGACUUCAAUGCCUAUGAAGGGAUCAGAGACACAGCCCUGGGAUCGUGCCAGGCAGAGAGCUGGAAAUGAGACCCUUUUGUACAGCUAGAGCCAUGGAUGAGUUACCACCUCCAUGAAAAUGGAAGCAGAAACAUGACCAAUGGCCCAGGUAAGUAUGUCGUUUGCCUAGAGCUUGUUAUUUGCCUAGAACUCAGGGUAAGGAAGAAUUCUCCAACAAAAAACAAAAUGCCAAAGAGUGAUUUAGACCCCAAAUACAUGUGUG